UCGUCGUCAUCGUUUCCUAUUUUAUCGACUUCCGCAUUCGGAUUCCUCCCCUGCAAUUUCGAAUGCACAAACACACAAACACACAAACACAACGGACAGCUUUCUUUUUGGCACUUACAUCAGAAUUAGCAAUGCAAUUCUGCGAGGCUUUUGGCACUUACUUCAUCAACUCAUUUUAUGAUAUCUGUCCAAAGCAAAAAGCUUUCUUUUUUCAUGAAUCAUGAUCGAGCUCAGUUUCUCAAACCUCUCCACAUUUUUAUUCUACGAUUCACUUUCCAGCGAUUCCAAAGCGACGAGUCCUUGACUCCUUAUGAAUAGGGAAUGCUAUUCGGAUUCAGAUCUUCCAAAGAUAUGGUGAAUAGAAAAGUGGGAUGCUUGAAUUUCCUUACUGAUAAUUUGUACCAUGUUUGUGUUGUGCUGAUAAAUAAUUAUCUUCUAGAUUGAAAAACCCAAUUGACCAAAGACCAUUAAACAUUUGUAUGUUUCUCUUCUUCUCUAGAAAGCUCAGGUCAGCCAAAACCAGUCAGUAGUGGGUAAGGAUAGACCAGAAAGAUAUUUGUUGUACAUCCAAAUUACAAUGAUACAAUACCUAAACUCACCAACCCACCUCAUAGAGGACAAAUCCUUUUCCUUUCCUUGGUUGGUAAUCUAUGACAGACAAAUACCCUUUUUCAUCACCAACCAUUGAUCGUUCCCUUUUCUACUCAACCCCAUCAAUCAAAGUUUCCUUUAAAUAAAAAAAUAAAAUAAAAAUGGUUUCAAGGACGUUAGCAAUACGAAAUGAUGUAAUCAGACUUACUCUAUAUAAAAAUUCAAAUAAAAGGAUGGAGGACAAAAGUCAAACUAAAACGUUUAUCAGUUCAUCUUACUUGGAAAAUGCCUCGGUGUUUUUUAUAUUAGUGACAAGUUGGUGAACUUUUUGAAGUUUAUGUUGCGCCAAUUAUUUGGAAGGAUAUUGCCCCACCAACUACAAUGUCAAAAUGCCAAAGUUUCUGACUUAUAACUUUGAAUCUAAUUUCAGAAAACAUUUUCUGCGUUUUCUUAAUUUUACCAUCUAACGCAAAUUACAGGCGUAUUCAAAAAAUGAAAACUAAAAACGGCCUCCAAAAACACCACCAAAUGAGCUCUAAUUUUUCAUUUCAUCCUUUCAUUUUUUGCAGAAAGUUUAUCUGGGCUAAUAAUUUGGGCCAUGUUAUUUCUGUCUUUCCAUAAAUUUUAUCACACAGGAGUCAUUGUUGAAGGCUGGCCUGAGAGUUUAUCUGGGCGUUGCUGUAUACUACCACAGUUUGCAAAAGAUUAUGGGCCCUAAAAAUUAAAAAAAAAAA
This is a long non-coding RNA of Prunus persica (peach), 1325 nucleotides long. RefSeq lists it as uncharacterized. The transcript has 2 exons. NCBI's taxonomy places the organism in Eukaryota, Viridiplantae, Streptophyta, Magnoliopsida, Rosales, Rosaceae. The record is from RefSeq and is a predicted model, not a curated record.